Molecule: RNase P RNA, 443 nt
Filed under: Rivularia sp. PCC 7116
Lineage: Bacteria; Bacillati; Cyanobacteriota; Cyanophyceae; Nostocales; Rivulariaceae
Description: Bacterial RNase P class A
Rfam family: Bacterial RNase P class A
About the family: Ribonuclease P (RNase P) is a ubiquitous endoribonuclease, found in archaea, bacteria and eukarya as well as chloroplasts and mitochondria. Its best characterised activity is the generation of mature 5'-ends of tRNAs by cleaving the 5'-leader elements of precursor-tRNAs.
Source: Rfam by way of RNAcentral
AGAGUUGGCGAGGCGGUUGCAGAUUAGUUUUUCAACUAGUUUGAGGAAAGUCCGGGCUUCCGAAAGACCAGACUUGCUGGAUAACUCCCAGUGCGUGCGAGCGUGAGGAUAGUGCCACAGAAAAAUACCGCCUUUUCAAUCAACAAUGAACAAUUAUCAAUUGUCAGUUUUUACUGUUCGUUGAUAAUUGGUAAUUGAUAAUUGGCAAAGGUAAGGGUGCAAAGGUGAGGUAAGAGCUCACCAGCAGCAUCGAGAGGUGCUGGCUCGGUAAACCCCGGUUGGAAGCAAGGUGAGAGGAACUAUGGUUGGUCUUUUACCGGUUCCGCUUUAUGAGAGCCGCUUGAGGCGUUUGGUAACAAGCGUCCCAGAUAGAUAAUCGCCCUUUAAAUGUAGAAGAUUUCUACAUUUUUAGAACAGAACCCGGCUUAUGUCCGACUCUCUUC